RNAcentral lists this ribosomal RNA (506 nucleotides) under Kocuria turfanensis. RNAcentral describes it as "bacterial SSU rRNA". It matches the Rfam family "Bacterial small subunit ribosomal RNA", at positions 373 to 888 of the family's 1533-position model. The record is from RNAcentral. Lineage: Bacteria; Bacillati; Actinomycetota; Actinomycetes; Micrococcales; Micrococcaceae.
GGGCGGAAGCCUGAUGCAGCGACGCCGCGUGAGGGAUGACGGCCUUCGGGUUGUAAACCUCUUUCAGCAGGGAAGAAGCCACAAGUGACGGUACCUGCAGAAGAAGCGCCGGCUAACUACGUGCCAGCAGCCGCGGUAAUACGUAGGGCGCAAGCGUUGUCCGGAAUUAUUGGGCGUAAAGAGCUCGUAGGCGGUUUGUCGCGUCUGCUGUGAAAGCCCGGGGCUCAACCCCGGGUCUGCAGUGGGUACGGGCAGACUAGAGUGCAGUAGGGGAGACUGGAAUUCCUGGUGUAGCGGUGAAAUGCGCAGAUAUCAGGAGGAACACCGAUGGCGAAGGCAGGUCUCUGGGCUGUUACUGACGCUGAGGAGCGAAAGCAUGGGGAGCGAACAGGAUUAGAUACCCUGGUAGUCCAUGCCGUAAACGUUGGGCACUAGGUGUGGGGGACAUUCCACGUUCUCCGCGCCGUAGCUAACGCAUUAAGUGCCCCGCCUGGGGAGUACGGCCG